AAGAAGGCCUUCGGGUUGUAAAGCACUUUCAGUCGUGAGGAAGGUAGUGUAGUUAAUAGCUGCAUUAUUUGACGUUAGCGACAGAAGAAGCACCGGCUAACUCCGUGCCAGCAGCCGCGGUAAUACGGAGGGUGCGAGCGUUAAUCGGAAUUACUGGGGCGUAAAGCGCAUGCAGGUGGUUUGUUAAGUCAGAUGUGAAAGCCCGGGGCUCAACCUCGGAAUUGCAUUUGAAACUGGCAGACUAGAGUACUGUAGAGGGGGGUAGAAUUUCAGGUGUAGCGGUGAAAUGCGUAGAGAUCUGAAGGAAUACCGGUGGCGAAGGCGGCCCCCUGGACAGAUACUGACACUCAGAUGCGAAAGCGUGGGGAGCAAACAGGAUUAGAUACCCUGGUAGUCCACGCCGUAAACGAUGUCUACUUGGAGGUUGUGGCCUUGAGCCCGUGGCUUUCGGAGCUAACGCGUUAAGUAGACCGCCUGGGGAGUACGGUCGCAAGAUUAAAACUCAAAUGAAUUGACGGGGGCCCGCACAAGCGGUGGAGCAUGUGGUUUAAUUCGAUGCAACGCGAAGAACCUUACCUACUCUUGACAUCCAGAGAACUUUCCAGAGAUGGAUUGGUGCCUUCGGGAACUCUGAGACAGG
Molecule: ribosomal RNA, 640 nt
Filed under: Vibrio azureus
Lineage: Bacteria; Pseudomonadati; Pseudomonadota; Gammaproteobacteria; Vibrionales; Vibrionaceae
Description: bacterial SSU rRNA
Rfam family: Bacterial small subunit ribosomal RNA
Source: RNAcentral